This 429-nucleotide ribosomal RNA is filed under the name Chloroflexota bacterium. Its description in RNAcentral is "Chloroflexi bacterium partial 16S ribosomal RNA". It matches the Rfam family "Bacterial small subunit ribosomal RNA", at positions 355 to 776 of the family's 1533-position model. RNAcentral also lists the same sequence under 1 other name. Lineage: Bacteria; Bacillati; Chloroflexota. The record is from RNAcentral.
UAGGGAAUCUUCGGCAAUGGACGAAAGUCUGACCGAGCAACGCCGCGUGAGUGAAGAAGGUUUUCGGAUCGUAAAACUCUGUUGUUAGAGAAGAACAAGGACGUUAGUAACUGAACGUCCCCUGACGGUAUCUAACCAGAAAGCCACGGCUAACUACGUGCCAGCAGCCGCGGUAAUUCGUAGGUGGCAAGCGUUGUCCGGAUUUAUUGGGCGUAAAGCGAGCGCAGGCGGUUUCUUAAGUCUGAUGUGAAAGCCCCCGGCUCAACCGGGGAGGGUCAUUGGAAACUGGGAGACUUGAGUGCAGAAGAGGAGAGUGGAAUUCCAUGUGUAGCGGUGAAAUGCGUAGAUAUAUGGAGGAACACCAGUGGCGAAGGCGGCUCUCUGGUCUGUAACUGACGCUGAGGCUCGAAAGCGUGGGGAGCAAACAGG